This 253-nucleotide ribosomal RNA is filed under the name uncultured bacterium. RNAcentral's name for it is "partial 16S ribosomal RNA". It matches the Rfam family "Bacterial small subunit ribosomal RNA", at positions 524 to 776 of the family's 1533-position model. The record is from RNAcentral.
UACGUAGGGGGCAAGCGUUGUCCGGAAUUAUUGGGCGUAAAGGGCUCGUAGGCGGUCUGUCGCGUCGGGAGUGAAAACUCGGGGCUUAACUCCGAGCCUGCUUCUGAUACGGGCAGACUAGAGGUAUGCAGGGGAGAAUGGAAUUCCUGGUGUAGCGGUGAAAUGCGCAGAUAUCAGGAGGAACACCGGUGGCGAAGGCGGUUCUCUGGGCAUGACCUGACGCUGAGGAGCGAAAGUGUGGGGAGCGAACAGG